CCGGUCGUUAGAGCGAGCAGUAUCGUGGCGAGAAUUAGGAUCAUCAUUUCGUGUGAUCGGUUUCCACUCGAGGAAUCGCGCACGUGAUUAGGCGCCGGCGAUGGUCCACUCUUUUGAAGAACGUGAAAUACUGAAGAUGGCCAUCUGCAUGUAUAAAUGGGAAGAGUGAAAUUUUUGUGCGUGUCCCUCGAGCAGAAUGUGUGCAGCCUUGGACCAGCUGGAUCGCCAAUCUCGCUGUACUCGUGUAUCGUCAGAUUCCAAGCGGUGCAGGGUCCUGUGGCGAGAAAGAAUGAAUAUUCCAACGCGUGUCGUGACUGGUCAUUACUAGACUGCGGAAGUUUAUGUACGAUAAAUAUGUAACAUGCAUAUGUAAAAUAUGCUCGAAAAAUUUGCAAAAUAUGCAAGGUAUAUAGGUACAUAUAAAAUGUAGUACAGUAAGUAAUAUAUUAGUAUGUUACAGAAAAUACUUUUCACAAUUAUUCUGGUAUAUUAUGAUUCGUGUGACAAUAAAUUACGAGCAUUUUUUCUAAAUUUAAUGGUGUUAGUUGGUAGCGUUUGUCUAUUGAAAUUAAUUUAUACGCGGAGAAUGAUUGCUCUACGUCACACGAAGUAAUCGGUGCGUAUUUAAAUUUGGACAACAU
This is a long non-coding RNA of Hylaeus volcanicus, 641 nucleotides long. RefSeq lists it as uncharacterized. NCBI's taxonomy places the organism in Eukaryota, Metazoa, Arthropoda, Insecta, Hymenoptera, Colletidae. The record is from RefSeq and is a predicted model, not a curated record. The transcript is spliced from 3 exons.